UAUAUUUAAAAAUAGAUUCAUAUUUCUUAUAAUUAAAAUUAAAAUAACACUCUCAUUAUUUAUUUUUUAAUAUG
This 74-nucleotide microRNA precursor is filed under the name Cajanus cajan (pigeon pea). RNAcentral's name for it is "miRNA gene-KK1_050520". Lineage: Eukaryota; Viridiplantae; Streptophyta; Magnoliopsida; Fabales; Fabaceae. The record is from RNAcentral.